This 320-nucleotide ribosomal RNA is filed under the name uncultured Prevotella sp. Its description in RNAcentral is "partial 16S ribosomal RNA". Lineage: Bacteria; Pseudomonadati; Bacteroidota; Bacteroidia; Bacteroidales; Prevotellaceae. The record is from RNAcentral.
GGAGUCUGGGCCGUGUCUCAGUCCCAAUGUGGCCGUUCAUCCUCUCAGACCGGCUACUGAUCGUCGGCUCGGUGGGCCGUUACCCCGCCGACUACCUAAUCAGACGCAUCCCCAUCCCAUAGCGGUGAACCUUUGUUCCGAAUCAGAUGUCAUCCUCGGAAUACAUAGGGUAUUAAUCCGCAUUUCUACGGGCUAUGCCCUACUAUGGGGAAGGUUGGAUACGCGUUACUCACCCGUGCGCCGGUCGCCAUCUAUCAAAGCAAGCUUCGAUAAUGCUGCCCCUCGACUUGCAUGUGUUAAGCCUGUAGCUAGCGUUCAUC